RNAcentral lists this ribosomal RNA (424 nucleotides) under uncultured bacterium. Its description in RNAcentral is "bacterial SSU rRNA". It matches the Rfam family "Bacterial small subunit ribosomal RNA", at positions 335 to 751 of the family's 1533-position model. The record is from RNAcentral.
ACUCCUACGGGAGGCAGCAGUGGGGAAUAUUGCACAAUGGGGGAAACCCUGAUGCAGCCAUGCCGCGUGUGUGAAGAAGGCCUUCGGGUUGUAAAGCACUUUCAGUAGGGAGGAAGGUAGUGUAGUUAACACCUGCAUUAUUUGACGUUACCUACAGAAGAAGCACCGGCUAACUCCGUGCCAGCAGCCGCGGUAAUACGGAGGGUGCGAGCGUUAAUCGGAAUUACUGGGCGUAAAGCGCAUGCAGGCGGCCUGUUAAGUCAGAUGUGAAAGCCCGGGGCUUAACCUCGGAAUUGCAUUUGAAACUGGCAGGCUAGAGUCUUGUAGAGGGGGGUAGAAUUUCAGGUGUAGCGGUGAAAUGCGUAGAGAUCUGAAGGAAUACCAGUGGCGAAGGCGGCCCCCUGGACAAAGACUGACGCUCAGA